UGGUGGGUUGACCUGUCGCCUUAAUUGAGAUAACGAACGAGACCUUGACCUGCUUAAUAGUCGCAUGGAUCUCCGUUUAGUGAAGCGUGAGACUACGGUCAAGCGUGGAUCUUGGAUUGAUACAUGCGUACUUCUUAGAGGGACUCUUCGCCGAGAGCGAAUGGAAGUUCGAGGCAAUAACA
RNAcentral lists this ribosomal RNA (182 nucleotides) under uncultured eukaryote. RNAcentral describes it as "partial 18S ribosomal RNA". It matches the Rfam family "Eukaryotic small subunit ribosomal RNA", at positions 1299 to 1458 of the family's 1831-position model. The record is from RNAcentral.